RNAcentral lists this ribosomal RNA (775 nucleotides) under uncultured Neocallimastigales. RNAcentral describes it as "partial large subunit ribosomal RNA". It matches the Rfam family "Eukaryotic large subunit ribosomal RNA", at positions 18 to 627 of the family's 3401-position model. Lineage: Eukaryota; Fungi; Neocallimastigomycota; Neocallimastigomycetes; Neocallimastigales. The record is from RNAcentral.
UCAGACGAUGCGUCAUGCAUAUCAAUAAGCGGAGGAAAAGAAACUAACAAGGAUUCCCUUAGUAACGGCGAGUGAAGCGGGAAGAGCUCAAAUUUGAAAUCUUCAAGGUUUUACCUUGACGAAUUGUAGUUUAAAGAAGUGUUUUCUGUUGAAGUUUUGGUAAAAGUUCUUUGGAAUAGGACAUCAUAGAGGGUGAGAAUCCCGUAUUUGACCAUUAUUUUCAGCUGUGUGAUACACUUUCAAAGAGUCGGAUUGUUUGGGAAUGCAGUCCAAAAUGGGUGGUAAAUUUCAUCUAAAGCUAAAUAUUGGCGAGAGACCGAUAGCGAACAAGUACCGUGAGGGAAAGAUGAAAAGAACUUUGAAAAGAGAGUUAAACAGUACGUGAAAUUGUCAAAAGGGAAGCGUUUGACACCAUGUGUUGUUUUCUCGAAAAUCAAUUAAAAAGAGUUAGAUUUUGUUGUGUAUUGACCUUAACAGCUUGCAUUUCAAUUUUCUUGCUUUUUUUAAUGCACUUUUCGUUUAACAAGUCAACAUCAGUUUCUUUUGUUGUAAAAAGGUCAUUGGAAGGUGGCUUUCUUUUCGGAGAAAGUGUUUAUAGCCUUUGACUCCUGCAAUCGGAGAGACUGAGGUCUGCAGCGUAGAUCCUUCGGGGUUAGAUACAUUUGUGCUAAGUUAUAGCUUUUUAUAGACAACUUGUUGACUAUGAUUAGUCUUGUAGCUUACUCGCUUAUGCUAUUUUACCUACGCUUAGGAUGUUGAGUCGUAGAGCACGCAG